UGGGGAAUAUUGCACAAUGGGCGCAAGCCUGAUGCAGCCAUGCCGCGUGUAUGAAGAAGGCCUUCGGGUUGUAAAGUACUUUCAGUCGGGAGGAAGGUGGUAAGGUUAAUAACCUUAUCAAUUAACGUUACCGACAGAAGAAGCACCGGCUAACUCCGUGCCAGCAGCCGCGGUAAUACGGAGGGUGCAAGCGUUAAUCGGAAUUACUGGGCGUAAAGCGCACGCAGGCGGUUGAUUGAGUCAGAUGUGAAAUCCCCGGGCUUACCCCGGGAAUUGCAUCUGGUACUGGUCAGCUAGAGUCUUGUAGAGCGGGGUAGAAUUCCAUGUGUAGCGGUGAAAUGCGUAGAGAUGUGGAGGAAUCCCGGUUGCGAAGGCGGCCCCCUGGACAAAGACUGACGCUCAGGUGCGAAAGCGUGGGGAGCAAACAGG
RNAcentral lists this ribosomal RNA (429 nucleotides) under Chloroflexota bacterium. RNAcentral describes it as "Chloroflexi bacterium partial 16S ribosomal RNA". It matches the Rfam family "Bacterial small subunit ribosomal RNA", at positions 355 to 776 of the family's 1533-position model. Lineage: Bacteria; Bacillati; Chloroflexota. The record is from RNAcentral.